This 253-nucleotide ribosomal RNA is filed under the name uncultured bacterium. Its description in RNAcentral is "partial 16S ribosomal RNA". It matches the Rfam family "Bacterial small subunit ribosomal RNA", at positions 524 to 776 of the family's 1533-position model. The record is from RNAcentral.
GACGUAGGGGGCAAGCGUUGUCCGGAAUUACUGGGCGUAAAGCGCGUGCAGGCGGCUUUGUAAGUCCCGUGUGAAAGCCUACGGCUCAACUGUAGGAGGCCGCGGGAUACUGCGAGGCUCGAGGGCAGGAGAGGGAAGUAGAAUUCCGAGUGUAGAGGUGAAAUUCGUAGAUAUUCGGAAGAACACCAGUGGCGAAGGCGACUUACUGGACACAUAUUGACGCUGAGGUGCGAAAGCGUGGGGAGCAAACAGG